Molecule: ribosomal RNA, 253 nt
Filed under: uncultured bacterium
Lineage: Bacteria
Description: partial 16S ribosomal RNA
Rfam family: Bacterial small subunit ribosomal RNA
Source: RNAcentral
GACGAACCGUGCGAACGUUAUUCGGAAUCACUGGGCUUAAAGGGCGCGUAGGCGGGCAGGCAAGUCGGAGGUGAAAGCCCACGGCUCAACCGUGGAAGGGCCCCCGAUACUGCUUGUCUGGAGGGAGAUAGGGGCGUGCGGAACUUCCGGUGGAGCGGUGAAAUGCGUAGAUAUCGGAAGGAACACCGGUGGCGAAAGCGGCGCGCUGGAUCUCUACUGACGCUGAGGCGCGAAAGCCAGGGGAGCAAACGGG